Long non-coding RNA from Sphaeramia orbicularis (orbiculate cardinalfish), 83 nucleotides. RefSeq lists it as uncharacterized. Lineage: Eukaryota; Metazoa; Chordata; Actinopteri; Kurtiformes; Apogonidae. The transcript has 3 exons. The record is from RefSeq and is a predicted model, not a curated record.
UUCUUUUGUCAUAGGAGUUUGUCAGUUUAAAGAUAAUUUUCCAAGUGAAUUAAGUGCGAGUUUGCUGUAAAACUGUUGAAGUA